Long non-coding RNA from Anastrepha ludens (Mexican fruit fly), 906 nucleotides. RefSeq lists it as uncharacterized. Lineage: Eukaryota; Metazoa; Arthropoda; Insecta; Diptera; Tephritidae. The record is from RefSeq and is a predicted model, not a curated record. The transcript has 4 exons.
CGUAGUUUCGCAGCUUGACAGCCAUCUUAGAGGUUCCAGAAUAACAGCGAUUUCGACUGAAAAACAGCACUGAAGAAGCGUAUGUCAACCACCACGACUACCAUUCGCUUAAUGUACAAAUGAUACUACUCUUAAAAUUUUAAACGUAAAUGCCAAAUUUCCGGGAGCACGGCACGAUUCAUAUAUUUGGAGUUCCUCUGCGGUGCGAAGGGUUAUACAACGGAGUUUUGAAAUUGGAAACCAUAACAUGUUUUUGAUUGGUGAUUCCGGGUACCUUUUGGAGCCUUGGCUGAUGACUCCUCUAACAAACCAACCGGAAGGUAGUCCGAGAUUCUUGUAUAAUGAGGCAUCGUGCAAAGCUCGUAACCCAGUUGAGAGACUUUUUGGCGUUCUUAAGGCAACGUGGCGGUGCUUGUCUCAACAAAGGACACUCUUGUAUGAUCCAGGAUUUACUGGACAGGUAGUGCUCAGUUUUACAUAAUAUAAUAAGCGUGCUCAGUUUUACAUAAUAUUCGUUUAAGAGAAGGAAUAUACCAGACCGAAAAUGAAUUCACAGAGCCCAGAACAAACAACAUUUUUGUAAACCAAGAUGGAUGGUGCAUCAGCAAAGCGCAUCCAAGACCGACUGAUUGCUAAUUUUUUUACUUAUAUACUAUUUUCACUUAUAAUCAUUCCGCACACAUAUCUAUGUGAACACUCGGGUAUAAAAAGUUAAAACAUUUUCAUAUUUAUUGUUAAAACCUUUUACUGAACAAAAUUACAUGCAGAUUCAAUAACAACAAUUCAGUCUUUAACUUCAGUUUACAUACAGUUUUAGGUUACAGGUACAUAAUUAUAUUUAUGUAUAUAGGUAUGCAUAAGCGUAUGCACACAUGCUGUACAAGUUCAAAGGUCAGUCUAUUUGUA